UCCUAUUAUUGCGGUAGUGCCGUCCUAUUAUUGCGGUAUACAAAAAAUCAUAGAUUUUAUUACAUUCAGUAUAUGUUCAAUGCCACACAAUGUUCGAGCAUUGAAAUUAUGCUCUCUACAUGUUAAUGACACUGCACGGUACUGUCAGUUUGUGUGACUUUGGACAUAUCUAUAAAGAAAACUAAUUUAUUAUUUUUGUUGUAAUUUUGGACCAGUCUGUUUUAUGUUGACGAUGUUUAUCAUCAUUGCCUUGCGCCGACCCUGUGAUUCUGUUCUUCCUGUUCGCGUACCGAAAUUCCCCCGGUGGUUUUGUCGGUACCACUGUGUACCUGGUGGGCAUCUCCGUGGUCAAGCCUUCCCACAGGUAAUGGGCCCAGUGUAGUGAAAGAACCGGAAAGUUUGGCUCGGAAAGUCGCGGUGUGUGCAAAUCGCUUCGUGAACAUUUAUCCUGUGUGGUGCCGGUCGGUGGGAGCCAAUCGUUUAAUUGCGCUCGUUUUUGGCUGAAGGUCCAGCUGCUGUGUGAGAAGAACAGCUGCGACCGGGACUGUGAAGUGUUUGGUGUGGUCGUUGGAGCCGUUUGUUCGUCUGGUUUCAAAUCCAGAACGGCGUCCAGAGUGCCGGUAAGGCUGUGAUUAGACUGCACACCAUUUUGUCCCGCGGAGCCGAA
This is a long non-coding RNA of Aedes aegypti (yellow fever mosquito), 667 nucleotides long. RefSeq lists it as uncharacterized. NCBI's taxonomy places the organism in Eukaryota, Metazoa, Arthropoda, Insecta, Diptera, Culicidae. The transcript has 2 exons. The record is from RefSeq and is a predicted model, not a curated record.